Drosophila nasuta is the source of this 3877-nucleotide RNA transcript. RefSeq lists it as uncharacterized. NCBI's taxonomy places the organism in Eukaryota, Metazoa, Arthropoda, Insecta, Diptera, Drosophilidae. The transcript has 10 exons. The record is from RefSeq and is a predicted model, not a curated record.
UCUGUCAUUACACACACACAUACAGAAAAGUAAAACCAAGUAAUACAUGAAGAAUUGGCAAAAUGGUGAAGAAAACUGGGGAUAAGGAGAACACCGCUUUGUUGAUCAGCGAGAAAGAAAUGCAGGAUCGUGAGAACAAGUAUGUUCAACAUUUGCAGGAUGUCAGUGUGAGCUGUGGCUACAUUAGAGAGGCCACCACGGAGUGUGAGCGACUAGAUCAAGAGAAAGCGAAGCAGGAUCAUUGGGAGCAUUUCAUACGCUGUGACGGUUUGCCUCGUCCCUAUAUUCCGCCCGAGAUGCGAACCUUUCUGGCCAAGAAGCGGUACUAUCAGCAGUUCGACUGUGAUCACAGUGUGGACUGGACACUUUCGGUGGAUGAGACCACGAUUUUAACUCAAAACGUCUUUCGCACGGAUAAAACGCGCAACACAAUGAAGGAGACAAUGAACGAUCAUGUUGGUGAUCGCUUUGAGAACGAUAUCACAAUGUUUCUCGAUACGCUGGUUAAGAUCGAAUGUAUGUUGGACAAUGAAACAGAAAUGGCACGUGUUAAUUUCGAGACAAAAAUGGAGAUCAUGGAUGCACGUAAAGAAAUCGAGGAGGAAAUCGAUGCGAGUUUUGAUCGCUUGACGUAUCGCAUUAUACGUAUGGAUGGUGUUUACAUGAACUCAAGCGAUGCCAUUGUGGCCACUUGGGGUCACGUAUGCGAUCGAUAUGCCAUCGAUAUCUGGGGAUUGCGAAAUGUGCCCAUACGCUUUGAUCAAAUGCUCGCUCCUCUGAUGCUGGCCGAGCUGACGCAUGUGGGUGUCACUGUUCAGAUGCCAUUGAGCGUUCUACACGACUGCCUCACACUGCGCUGCAUUCACACACAUUUCGACAACUGCUCGCAGUAUGCCAAAAGCUUCGAUACUGUGAUACCCGAAUCGAUCAAGGAUCUGACAGCUGGCAUACUCAGUAUCGAGGACUGCCUGGCGAAUGAGUGGCUAAUGCAGGUGGAUAUUCAAGCGGAGCUGCUGGAUAAUAUGCUGCAGAAACGUGAAGCCUAUGAGGAGAUUAUGCGGAUUAUAGCCGAGCGCACAGAGCGGGCGGCGAAAGAGAAGAAGGCCAAUGAGGGCAAGACUGUGAAGGCUAUUGCUAUUCCCAAGGCGCCCAAGGAGCCGCCAUCGGUGCCGCAGGGCAUGCUGCCCGAUGCCUACUCAGCAUUCCUAGAACAGGAGCAGCAACAAUAUGUGGAAAUGCUGGAUACACAGUACAAUCCGUUGAAUUUGAAAAUGAAGUUAGAUGAGAUAAAUCUGCGGCAAUACAUUCUGCUGGGCGGUUUAUAUUCGGUGAUGUUUGUGCGACGUCCGGGGAAUACGCAUUUCGAGAAGUUCAACAUUAUUCUGCACGAGGAUGGCCGAGUGUUGCACACCAUGGAGAACGUGGUGGCCGAUUUGCAUCCCAAGCGACACGAUGAUCUCCACGAACGACAUUCGCGGCCCUCGCAGCGAACUUCCACAUCAUCACAGGGACGCUCCAAGUCGCGAAUGCGUCUCCAAAUGGAUGCAAAGCAGCGCAAGUCCAGUAAGCUGGAGGACGAUGAGUUGCCGUAUUUCUUUGUUACCUUACAACUGGCGCCGGAGAUGUGCAGAUGGGGCGAACCAACCGCUUGUCAAUACAUCACAAAGAUGGAGGAAGUUGUGUCAGACAUUUCAUUCAUUGUCGAGGAGAAAAAGGAGUCAACAGGCAAGAAAAAGAAAUCGAAAUUCGAGUCAAUCAUGAAAUCCGUGGAAGUGGAAACUCGACCAAGCGUAUUCACAAAAAUUGUACGUCGCGAUUCCGCGAUUAGCAAUGUGUUUCGUCCCACGUUAAUUUCGCUGCUGCGCCAAAGUAAACGUGUUACGGUUGGCACAAGGACGAUGCCUGUUCAUAACUUUUCGCUGCUUAAGCAAUUGACUCACCUGGAGAUACGGCAACUAGAGCGUUAUGGUGUGCCCCGUGUCAUAUCAUCCUUGAAGUUCCCGUUGGAGGUGCGCGAAGAGUUGGAGCAGCUACACGACCAGAGGCCAAAGAACAAGAAUAUGUUGAUGCGUCGUCGCAGUGCCGAUGUCGAGGAGAUCCUUGAUCUAGGCUACAUCGAUUUCAAUUUUGAGGAGCAACACGCACCCGAACGCGUCUUUCCCAUCUUCUCGAAUGUCGAGACAGUGCGGUAUGUGGAUAUGCAACUGGAAGAAGAUGAACAUUUGGAUAAGAAAUCCAUUUAUGGUUUGCUAGAGACCUUUGACAAUAUACGCUCACAAUAUCAAACAAACUAUGCGCUCAUCAUGAAUCAACCGGACUUUCAGCAUAAGAAACCGGCGGUGUCUAAAAAGGCGGUUGUUCCCGUGCCAGAUAAUCGCUCUACGGUCACCGGUCGAGUCAAGUCCCUGGUUGCAAGGAAAUCAGAGAGUCGACUGCCAUCGUUUCGCAGCAGUCACAUUACCAGUUUAUCCGGCUCGGGUUCCCGUAGCGCUACCUCGGUGCACACUGAACAGUUGUCGGACACCGAUGCGACGACCAACAGCAGGAUGACGUUCUCCACUGAGGAAAAAGAGGAGAAACCUAAGGUUAAAGUGACACACUGGACAACGAAACACAUCAUCACGAGCACUUUCAACCGAAACGAACGCACUUUGACCAUCAAAACGGAUCGUCUGGGCAUCUUUGGGUUGGCCUUUAAGCGCUACGAACAUUUCCCUUUUCGCGACUGGAGCAUGCAGCCCAACGAGGAGAAUCCCGAUGAAAUCGUACUGACUGUGGAUACUUUUCACGCUCGGAUUGUGCUCUAUAUUUCGGCACAGGGUGUCAGGGGUUAUGUGACUGAUAUUACCAAGGGUUAUGUGGCUCAUCCUGUUAAGUAUUUGGAUAUACCGACGCCUAUUGCUGAUUUUCGAGUCUUGCGUAAGAAAUUCUACGACAAGUGCAUCAAUAUCUUUGCGGAGCACGAUGCCAGCUUCUACAUCGACAAUGGUUAUUUUUCGGUGAAGCAUGUUGCCACUGAGGAUCACACCUAUGACGCAAUGGCAUUGCACUGCAAACUGAUGAAAUUCACUCGCUCAAGCUGGAAUCGUUUGGCCACUCGUCGCAAUAUUCUGCUCUGUAUGAAGAAUGCAAAGGAUCAGUCCGAUUACACGGAGGUGACGGUGCGCAUAACUCCCGAUGCGGCCACAUUUGUGGAGGUUACCGAACUCUGUUCCGAUGAUCUCGACGUGAUCAAGUUGGAUUAUAAGAACACCUGGCGCAAUAUGAGCCAUUAUACGGAUCUGCAUCAGGCAAUUGCCUCAAUGAAUCCUCAUGCCGUCGAUGUGCGGAACAAGGAUGUGCAGCUUUUGUCCCGGCUCAAGCGCAUGUUGAGCGAAAUUCAUAUUAUGAAUUUUUCCUAGAAUGUUUUUUUAACAAUUGUACUACUCCGAUAAAUUUGUCAGUUUUCCAAUUACACUUUUUACAACACUUGCAUGCAACACAUACGCACACACAACACACACAAACACUCUUAAAUGUUAAUGUAAAAAAAAAUAAAAAAAAAAUAUAUUGAGUAAACUUAAAAAAAAAAAGAAUGGUUAAAAAGAAACGCACCCAAGUAAUUGUGGCAAAUACAGAUGGAAAACAAGUCGUCGAAUCAAGUGCGAUGUCCUUUGUCUCGGAGGCCGAGUGGCUGGCAAGGGAACAACGUCAUCAACAGCGCAUACAGGACGUGAGGAUCUGUGCAGGCUUUAUUAUAGAGUCCAUUGAGGACUAUCAAGAUUUGGUGAAGCUGCAGAGAAAGCAGGAGCACUGGAAUCGCUAUGUGAACUGUGAUGGUUUGCCUCGGGCUCACAAUCCGCCUGAGUUGCGAUCAUUUAUUGCGGAAAUAAGGCAC